This 549-nucleotide long non-coding RNA is filed under the name Equus caballus (horse). RNAcentral describes it as "lncRNA (ENSECAG00000030743.3)". Lineage: Eukaryota; Metazoa; Chordata; Mammalia; Perissodactyla; Equidae. The record is from RNAcentral.
GCAUCAGCAAGCCUGUGGGGAGAGUCUGCAAGGGCCGCCCCCUGGGAGAGCACGGAGAAGGCGCAGGUCCUGCCAGGGAAGGAAAGCCAGCCUACCGUGCUCCCGUGCCUUUCUCCAAUUGGACUAAGAUCAGAGGACACCCUCAUCCCCCACCCCAGGACUUCACGGGCCACGAGGGCUGCAAUGACGAGGAGGAGGCUUCCCAUUGGCUGAAACCCACUAUGACCUCAAGGCAAGGGAGCCUGGGCGGUGGAGGACCCACAGGCCUCAGUUUCCUCAUCUGUAAAGUGAGGAUUGGAACCCAACCCAGGAUUGGCUCCCCUCUUGUGCUUACAUCCCAGAACCCCAGCUGGUCCUGGGGCUCUGCUCUCUGCGCCCCACUGCGCCUCGCAGAGAAGCCGAUCAGCACGAGCUUUCAGAAUGGAAGGAUGACGCCCUGCGUGUGACAGUGUACAAGGUGUACCAAGUUAAAAGAGUCGCUGCAGAUGCAACUUCAUCUUCAAGCGUGGAGCAUUAUAGUAUGGUUGUACCUAUGUUAAAAUUAUAAAG